This 206-nucleotide ribosomal RNA is filed under the name uncultured bacterium. Its description in RNAcentral is "partial 16S ribosomal RNA". It matches the Rfam family "Bacterial small subunit ribosomal RNA", at positions 568 to 773 of the family's 1533-position model. The record is from RNAcentral.
CUCGUAGGCGGCCAACUAAGUCAGACGUGAAAUCCCCAGGCUUAACCUGGGAACUGCGUCUGAUACUGGAUGGCUUGAAUCCGGGAGAGGGAUGCAGAAUUCCAGGUGUAGCGGUGAAAUGCGUAGAUAUCUGGAGGAAUACCGGUGGCGAAGGCGGCAUCCUGGACCGGCAUUGACGCUGAGGAGCGAAAGCUAGGGGAGCAAAC